GAUGAACGCUGGCGGCGUGCCUAAUACAUGCAAGUAGAACGCUGAAGGAAGGAGCUUGCUCUUUCCGGAUGAGUUGCGAACGGGUGAGUAACGCGUAGGUAACCUGCCUGGUAGCGGGGGAUAACUAUUGGAAACGAUAGCUAAUACCGCAUAACAGUAGAUGUUGCAUGAUAUCUACUUAAAAGGUGCAAUUGCACCACUACCAGAUGGACCUGCGUUGUAUUAGCUAGUUGGUGAGGUAACGGCUCACCAAGGCGACGAUACAUAGCCGACCUGAGAGGGUGAUCGGCCACACUGGGACUGGGACGCGGCCCAGACUCCUACGGGAGGCAGCAGUAGGGAAUCUUCGGCAAUGGACAGAAGUCUGACCGAGCAACGCCGCGUGGGUGAAGAAGGUUUUCGGAUCGUAAAGCUCUGUUGUAAGGGAAGAGAGAGUGUGGGAGUGGAAAGUUCACACUGUGACGGUAUCUUACCAGAAAGGGACGGCUAACUACGUG
This 497-nucleotide ribosomal RNA is filed under the name uncultured bacterium. RNAcentral describes it as "partial 16S ribosomal RNA". It matches the Rfam family "Bacterial small subunit ribosomal RNA", at positions 28 to 507 of the family's 1533-position model. The record is from RNAcentral.